AACGAACGCUGGCGGCAUGCCUAACACAUGCAAGUCGAACGAUGCCUUCGGGCAUAGUGGCGCACGGGUGCGUAACGCGUGGGAAUCUGCCUUGGGGUUCGGAAUAACUCCCCCGAAAGGGGUGCUAAUACCGGAUGAUGUCGAAAGACCAGAGAUUUAUCGCCCUGAGAUGAGCCCGCGUAGGAUUAGCUAGUUGGUGUGGUAAAGGCGCACCAAGGCGACGAUCCUUAGCUGGUCUGAGAGGAUGAUCAGCCACACUGGGACUGAGACACGGCCCAG
RNAcentral lists this ribosomal RNA (279 nucleotides) under uncultured bacterium. RNAcentral's name for it is "partial 16S ribosomal RNA". It matches the Rfam family "Bacterial small subunit ribosomal RNA", at positions 29 to 334 of the family's 1533-position model. The record is from RNAcentral.